CCUACGGGAGGCAGCAGUGGGGAAUAUUGCACAAUGGGGGAAACCCUGAUGCAGCAACGCCGCGUGAGUGACGAAGGCCUUCGGGUUGUAAAACUCUUUUCUGAGGGAUGAGGAAGGACAGUACCUUAGGAAUAAGUCUCGGCUAACUACGUGCCAGCAGCCGCGGUAAAACGUAGGAGGCGAGCGUUAUCCGGAUUUACUGGGCGUAAAGGGCAAGUAGGCGGUGGUUCAAGUUGGGCGUGACAGAUCCUGGCUUAACUGGGAGAGGUCGUUCAAAACUGGAUCACUAGAGGGCAGGAGAGGGGAGCGGAAUUCCUAGUGUAGCGGUGGAAUGCUCAGAUAUUAGGAAGAACACCAGUGGCGAAAGCGGCUUUCUGGCCUGCACCUGACGCUGAAGGGCGAAAGCUAGGGGAGCGAACGGGCUUAGAUACCCUGGUAGUC
Molecule: ribosomal RNA, 441 nt
Filed under: uncultured bacterium
Lineage: Bacteria
Description: bacterial SSU rRNA
Rfam family: Bacterial small subunit ribosomal RNA
Source: RNAcentral